GAUGAACGCUAGCGAUAGGCUUAACACAUGCAAGUCGAGGGGCAGCACAAGGUAGCUUGCUAUCUGGGUGGCGACCGGCGCACGGGUGCGUAACGCGUAUGCAACUUGCCCUAUACAGGAGGAUAACCCGUCGAAAGACGGACUAAUACUGCGUAUGCUCACAACUUGGCAUCAAGUGGUGAGGAAAGAAAUUCGGUAUAGGAUAGGCAUGCGUCCCAUUAGCUUGUUGGUGAGGUAACGGCUCACCAAGGCAACGAUGGGUAGGGGAACUGAGAGGUUUAUCCCCCACACUGGUACUGAGACACGGACCAGACUCCUACGGGAGGCGGCAGUGAGGAAUAUUGGUCAAUGGGCGCGAGCCUGAACCAGCCAAGUCGCGUGAAGGAUGACUGUCUUAUGGAUUGUAAACUUCUUUUAUACGGGAAUAACAAGAGUCACGUGUGACUCCCUGCAUGUACCGUAUGAAUAAGCAUCGGCUAACUCCGUG
This 487-nucleotide ribosomal RNA is filed under the name uncultured bacterium. RNAcentral's name for it is "partial 16S ribosomal RNA". It matches the Rfam family "Bacterial small subunit ribosomal RNA", at positions 28 to 507 of the family's 1533-position model. The record is from RNAcentral.